GAUGAACGCUGGCGGCGUGCCUAACACAUGCAAGUCGAGCGAACAGACGCGGCUCUUGCUCCUCUCACAUUUGCGGCGCACGGGUGAGUCACACGAGUAUCACCUACCUAUAAGUCUGGGAUCACUUCGAGACACCGGCUCUUAUACCGUAUAAUAUCUUGAUCCGUAUGGUUCAAUAGUAAAUUACGGCUUUGCUGUCACUUAUAGCUGCAUCCGCGCUGCAUUAGCUAGUUGGUAAGGUAACGGCUUACCAAGGCAACCAUGCGUAACCGACCUGAGAGGGUGGUCGGCGACACUGGAGCUGAGACACGGUCCAGAGUCCUACGGGAGGCAGCAGUAGGGAAUCUGACGCAGUAGGCGGAAACAUGACGGAGCAACGCCGCGUGAGAGGUAGAGGUCUUCGGAUCGUAAAACUCUGUUAUGAGGGAUGAACAAAUGUGUAAGUAACUAUGCACGUCUUGACGGUACCUAAUCAGAAAGCCACGGCUAACUACGUG
Molecule: ribosomal RNA, 497 nt
Filed under: uncultured bacterium
Lineage: Bacteria
Description: partial 16S ribosomal RNA
Rfam family: Bacterial small subunit ribosomal RNA
Source: RNAcentral